Molecule: long non-coding RNA, 993 nt
Organism: Perca flavescens (yellow perch)
Lineage: Eukaryota; Metazoa; Chordata; Actinopteri; Perciformes; Percidae
Exons: 3
Source: RefSeq, a predicted model, not a curated record
AAGACCCUAACUGGCCCAUAAGAAACCUUUUUUUAAAAACAAGUGGGUGAUUGGAUAGACGUGACUUGGGUCAUGCUGCAGACACAGUUCACCUGCUCGUGGGUCAACCGCACCCCCGGCAGAGAUGGAGGGAAUACCCCCCCCCACUUGUUGCUGCGGAGGAGAGGACACAAAAAAAGGCCGAAAAAUCCUGCCGCCUAUAGCUCAGAUCCUGCAUGUUGGGAUAAAAUUGAUGAAUACAUGAGGGCAUGUUGGAUUAAAAUAGGACCUAAAAGUUGCCAGAACAAAGACGCAGAUGUUGCUGCCUCUGAAAGACAAUAAACACCAAAAGAGGGGGGCUGACCACCUUAAUCCGCCCAUGGCCGCCACAUUCUCAGGUCUGAAUAAUUAACUUGCCAAACGCUUCCAGUGCUGCCGGUUUAUCUGACAUCCUUCCAACAACGGGGAGCAAUACUCCGACAUGCCAGCCAACGUCUGUGAGAGUGAAGAAAAUAUUUCAAUUAACAAGGGGAAAUUCAAUGAGAAUUGUUUUUAAAUACAAAAUUAAUUCAUCUUUCCAGCAAGCGGGAAAUAAUAAGAUGAAUGUCCACCAUUGGCAGCUAUUCAUUUAGUACAGUGGUUUCCAGAAAAAAACUAGUCACCGCAAGUUAUAUGGGUUGAAUUACCUCAUAUAACUGAAUGCAGAUAGCAUCAAUGAAGGACACCUGCAUGCUGGGAAUCUUAUCUCUUUUCUCACGAUUCAUCAGGUCCUGAAGUAAAGGGAUAAAAAAAAGAAAUUGCAUGAAAAGAGUGCAAAAAUUAUGACACUUUAAAGCCUCUGAACACCCACACAGUUUCACUUAUUCUGGCUGAUUAGACCUCUGCUCAGGUUUAAGGAGGGCUGGAGUUUAGAUGGGAAUUUAUUAGGUCACAAAUCUUUUCUACCAAUAAGAAUGAUAAAGGUGCUAUUUGUCCUGCCGUAACAAGUGCAACAAAGCUAACAAGAGGUUCAGA